GUACCCCAGUGAAUUUGUAGUGACGAUAAUUCUAAGGCUCCAUGGACUAUGCCCCAUCUGAAGAACUCGAACUCGAAAUCGAACUCAAAUUAAAUUCAAAGCAACGAAUUCAUCCUGAAAAUAUCAAGAACAUCAUUAAAAAAACAUUCGAUCAACAAACACUCAUUUUAAUCUCAGCUCGACUUGAAUCCAUUAAAGAUAAUUGUUUUCUGAAGUACAUAUCUUGGUCAGUUCGCAAUAAAA
This is a long non-coding RNA of Drosophila innubila, 243 nucleotides long. RefSeq lists it as uncharacterized. The record is from RefSeq and is a predicted model, not a curated record. NCBI's taxonomy places the organism in Eukaryota, Metazoa, Arthropoda, Insecta, Diptera, Drosophilidae. The transcript has 2 exons.